This 270-nucleotide long non-coding RNA is filed under the name Phoenix dactylifera (date palm). RNAcentral describes it as "long non-coding RNA (PDAC_LNC007904)". The record is from RNAcentral. Lineage: Eukaryota; Viridiplantae; Streptophyta; Magnoliopsida; Arecales; Arecaceae.
GAAGUCAAGAGUUAGAGAAAUCGGGAUUCCAACUUCAUCUACGACAAGAGAGAGGAAAAUGAACACAAUUUGCCAAAAGGGGAUCUUUCAUUAAUAAAGGGCCAGAAGGCCAAUUACAAAAUUGAGGGUCGGCCAUUUAAGAAGCCGACCUCGAUUACAAUGGAAAGAAAAAAGAUCUAAGUCCUAAGGGGCGGCGGUAGCAUCCGCGUCGCCCCCGGGGUCGUCCACGGCGAUGACCUGGGGACUUUCAGUAGGCACGAAUUCGGGGUC